Molecule: non-coding RNA, 613 nt
Organism: Paramuricea clavata
Lineage: Eukaryota; Metazoa; Cnidaria; Anthozoa; Malacalcyonacea; Plexauridae
Source: the annotation of a GenBank genome assembly
CCAUCAUCGCCACCACCACCAUCAUCAACUGUACCAUCAUCAGUCCAUCACCACCAAUCAUACCAUCAUCACCAGCACCAAUCAUACCAUCAUCGGCACCACCACCAUCAUCAACUGUACCACCAUCAGGCCUUAAAAUAUCGGUCGGUCACGGACAUUGUCCGACCCAUUCGUGAAAUUGUCCGACGUAGAAAAGAAACCACCGGACAUUCUGUCCGACCUAAGUGAAAAUGAGGUUUAUUGUUUGUCCGACCCGAGUGUAUUGGUGUCCGACCGAACUGUAGCUUUGUCCGACGUAAAUCAAAAUGUACCCUAGCCCAGGAGGCCAGGACUAGAGGCAGGCGUGUAUGUUAAAUGGAAAAUCAGAGUAUUAUUGUAUAAAAGGUGAACUGGAAAUGUUGUUUUAACGUAGUCAAGCGCGGAGCAGCGAGCGAAAUGGUGAAGUGGAAAACGGGCUUAAGUUGUCGAAGUCUUUUUGAUACUGCUGUUCUGGCAAGUAUGUAUGAAAGAAACAAAUUAUUUAAUAUCUUUACAACAUUUACCGUUUAUUCAUUUGUACAUGUAUCAUUCAGACUUAUUUCCGAGUCAAAAAUGAACUGAAGGUCAUCGGACA